RNAcentral lists this ribosomal RNA (384 nucleotides) under uncultured bacterium. Its description in RNAcentral is "bacterial SSU rRNA". It matches the Rfam family "Bacterial small subunit ribosomal RNA", at positions 30 to 417 of the family's 1533-position model. The record is from RNAcentral.
AUUGAACGCUGGCGGCAUGCUUUACACAUGCAAGUCGAACGGCAGCGCGGGCUUCGGCCUGGCGGCGAGUGGCGAACGGGUGAGUAAUAUAUCGGAACGUACCCAAGAGUGGGGGAUAACGUAGCGAAAGUUACGCUAAUACCGCAUACGAUCUAAGGAUGAAAGCAGGGGAUCGCAAGACCUUGUGCUCCUGGAGCGGCCGAUAUCUGAUUAGCUAGUUGGUGGGGUAAAGGCCCACCAAGGCAACGAUCAGUAGCUGGUCUGAGAGGACGACCAGCCACACUGGAACUGAGACACGGUCCAGACUCCUACGGAGGCAGCAGUGGGAAUUUGGACAAUGGGCGCAAGCCUGAUCCAGCAAUGCCGCGUGAGUGAAGAAGGCCU